RNAcentral lists this transfer RNA (72 nucleotides) under Pteropus alecto (black flying fox). It matches the Rfam family "tRNA". From Rfam's summary of the family: Transfer RNA (tRNA) molecules are approximately 80 nucleotides in length. Their secondary structure includes four short double-helical elements and three loops (D, anti-codon, and T loops). Further hydrogen bonds mediate the characteristic L-shaped molecular structure. tRNAs have two regions of fundamental functional importance: the anti-codon, which is responsible for specific mRNA codon recognition, and the 3' end, to which the tRNAs corresponding amino acid is attached (by aminoacyl-tRNA synthetases). tRNAs cope with the degeneracy of the genetic code in two manners: having more than one tRNA (with a specific anti-codon) for a particular amino acid; and 'wobble' base-pairing, i.e. permitting non-standard base-pairing at the 3rd anti-codon position. Lineage: Eukaryota; Metazoa; Chordata; Mammalia; Chiroptera; Pteropodidae. The record is from Rfam by way of RNAcentral.
GAUUCCAUAGUGUAGCAGUUAGCAUAUCUGCUUUAUAUGUAGAAAGUCUAGGUUCCAGCCCCAGUGGAGCCA